This 467-nucleotide ribosomal RNA is filed under the name uncultured bacterium. Its description in RNAcentral is "partial 16S ribosomal RNA". It matches the Rfam family "Bacterial small subunit ribosomal RNA", at positions 28 to 507 of the family's 1533-position model. The record is from RNAcentral.
GACGAACGCUGGCGGCGUGCAUAACACAUGCAAGUCGAACGGAAAGGCUCCAGCUUGCUGGAGUACUCGAGUGGCGAACGGGUGAGUAACACGUGGGUAAUCUGCCCUGCACUCUGGGAUAAGCCUGGGAAACUGGGUCUAAUACUGGAUAUGACCUUUCUCCUUAUGGGGUUUGGUGGAAAGUUUUUCGGUGUAGGAUGAGCCCGCGGCCUAUCAGCUUGUUGGUGGGGUGAUGGCCUACCAAGGCGACGACGGGUAGCCGGCCUGAGAGGGUGAUCGGCCACAUUGGGACUGAGAUACGGCCCAGACUCCUACGGGAGGCAGCAGUGGGGAAUAUUGCACAAUGGGCGGAAGCCUGAUGCAGCGACGCCGCGUGAGGGAUGACGGCCUUCGGGUUGUAAACCUCUUUCAGCAGGGACGAAGCGUAAGUGACGGUACCUGCAGAAGAAGCACCGGCUAACUAUGUG